UACGAAGGGGGCUAGCGUUGUUCGGAUUUGCUGGGCGUAAAGCGCACGUAGGCGGAUCAUUAAGUCAGAGGUGAAAUCCCAAGGCUCAACCUUGGAACUGCCUUUGAUACUGGUGAUCUUGAGUCCGGAAGAGGUGAGUGGAACUGCGAGUGUAGAGGUGAAAUUCGUAGAUAUUCGCAAGAACACCAGUGGCGAAGGCGGCUCACUGGUCCGGAACUGACGCUGAGGUGCGAAAGCGUGGGGAGCAAACAGG
RNAcentral lists this ribosomal RNA (253 nucleotides) under uncultured prokaryote. Its description in RNAcentral is "partial 16S ribosomal RNA". It matches the Rfam family "Bacterial small subunit ribosomal RNA", at positions 524 to 776 of the family's 1533-position model. The record is from RNAcentral.